UAAAAGAUAAGCUAAAAUAUAAGCUAAUGGGUUCAUACCUCAUUUAUGGAUAAAUCCUCUUUUUA
This 65-nucleotide transfer RNA is filed under the name Vagitanus terminalis. Its description in RNAcentral is "tRNA-Met". Lineage: Eukaryota; Metazoa; Arthropoda; Insecta; Hemiptera; Cicadidae. The record is from RNAcentral.